GAUGAAGAACGUAGCGAAAUGCGAUAAGUAGUGUGAAUUGCAGAAUUCAGUGAAUCAUCGAAUCUUUGAACGCACAUUGCGCCCCAUGGUAUUCCGUGGGGCAUGCCUGUUCGAGCGUCAUUUACCCCUUCAAGCUCCGCUUGGUGUUGGGCGUCUGUCCCGCUUCGCGCGCGGACUCGCCCCAAAGGUAUUGGCAGCGGUCGUGCCAGCUUCUCGCGCAGCACAUUGCGCUUCUCGAGGCACCGGUGGGCCCGCGUCCAUCAAGCUCACCCCCCCAGUUUGACCUCGGAUCAGGUAGGGAUACCCGCUGAACUUAAGCAUAUCAAUAAGCGGAGGA
RNAcentral lists this unclassified non-coding RNA (337 nucleotides) under soil metagenome. RNAcentral's name for it is "partial contains 5.8S ribosomal RNA, internal transcribed spacer 2, and large subunit ribosomal RNA". The stretch from base 1 to 120 matches the Rfam family "5.8S ribosomal RNA", at positions 35 to 154 of the family's 154-position model. The record is from RNAcentral.